GAUGAACGCUGGCGGCGUGCCUAAUACAUGCAAGUCGAGAGAACAGAUGAGGAGCUUGCUCCUCUGACGUUAGCGGCGGACGGGUGAGUAACACGUGGAUAACCUACCUAUAAGACUGGGAUAACUUCGGGAAACCGGAGCUAAUACCGGAUAAUAUAUUGAACCGCAUGGUUCAAUAGUGAAAGACGGUUUUGCUGUCACUUAUAGAUGGAUCCGCGCCGCAUUAGCUAGUUGGUAAGGUAACGGCUUACCAAGGCAACGAUGCGUAGCCGACCUGAGAGGGAGAUCGGCCACACUGGAACUGAGACACGGUCCAGACUCCUACGGGAGGCAGCAGUAGGGAAUCUUCCGCAAUGGGCGAAAGCCUGACGGAGCAACGCCGCGUGAGUGAUGAAGGUCUUCGGAUCGUAAAACUCUGUUAUUAGGGAAGAACAAAUGUGUAAGUAACUAUGCACGUCUUGACGGUACCUAAUCAGAAAGCCACGGCUAACUACGUG
Molecule: ribosomal RNA, 497 nt
Filed under: uncultured bacterium
Lineage: Bacteria
Description: partial 16S ribosomal RNA
Rfam family: Bacterial small subunit ribosomal RNA
Source: RNAcentral